GUGGGGAAUUUUGGACAAUGGGCGCAAGCCUGAUCCAGCAAUGCCGCGUGCAGGAAGAAGGCCUUCGGGUUGUAAACUGCUUUUGUACGGAACGAAACGGUCCUGGUUAAUACCUGGGGCUAAUGACGGUACCGUAAGAAUAAGCACCGGCUAACUACGUGCCAGCAGCCGCGGUAAUACGUAGGGUGCAAGCGUUAAUCGGAAUUACUGGGCGUAAAGCGUGCGCAGGCGGUUUUGUAAGACAGGCGUGAAAUCCCCGGGCUCAACCUGGGAAUUGCGCUUGUGACUGCAAGGCUGGAGUGCGGCAGAGGGGGAUGGAAUUCCGCGUGUAGCAGUGAAAUGCGUAGAUAUGCGGAGGAACACCGAUGGCGAAGGCAAUCCCCUGGGCCUGCACUGACGCUCAUGCACGAAAGCGUGGGGAGCAAACAGGAUUAGAUACCCCGGUAGUCC
RNAcentral lists this ribosomal RNA (450 nucleotides) under uncultured bacterium. RNAcentral describes it as "bacterial SSU rRNA". It matches the Rfam family "Bacterial small subunit ribosomal RNA", at positions 354 to 796 of the family's 1533-position model. The record is from RNAcentral.